GGGUCAGCAGGUUGGUCGUGCCACUGGUAUGCACUGGCUUCGCUGAUGCCUCCUUUCUGAAGAACUGUAAUGCCAUUAAUUUGGUGUUGCAGGGAAACAGGACUGUUACUUUGAAACAAUUAGAGUGUUUAAAGCAGGCUAACGCUUGAAUACAUUAGCAUGGAAUAAUGAGAUAGGACGUUCGAUCCUAUUUUGUUGGUUUCUAGGAUUGACGUAAUGAUUAAUAGGGAUAGUUGGGC
RNAcentral lists this ribosomal RNA (239 nucleotides) under uncultured Glomeromycotina. Its description in RNAcentral is "partial 18S ribosomal RNA". The stretch from base 39 to 239 matches the Rfam family "Eukaryotic small subunit ribosomal RNA", at positions 685 to 887 of the family's 1831-position model. The record is from RNAcentral. Lineage: Eukaryota; Fungi; Glomeromycota.